AUUGAACGCUGGCGGCAUGCCUUACACAUGCAAGUCGAACGGCAGCGCGGGGCAACCUGGCGGCGAGUGGCGAACGGGUGAGUAAUAUAUCGGAACAUACCCUAGAGUGGGGGAUAACGUAGCGAAAGUUACGCUAAUACCGCAUACGCACUAAGGUGGAAAGUGGGGGAUCUUCGGACCUCAUGCUCAUGGAGUGGCCGAUAUCUGAUUAGCUAGUUGGUGAGGUAAAGGCUCACCAAGGCGACGAUCAGUAGCUGGUUUGAGAGAACGACCAGCCACACUGGAACUGAGACACAGUCCAGACUCCUACGGGAGGCAGCAGUGGGGAAUUUUGGACAAUGGGGGCAACCCUGAUCCAGCAAUGCCGCGUGAGUGAUGAAGGCCUUAGGGUUGUAAAGCUCUUUUACCAGGGACGAUGAUGACGGUACCUGGAGAAUAAGCCCCGGCUAACUUCGUGCCAGCAGCCGCGGUAAU
This 474-nucleotide ribosomal RNA is filed under the name uncultured bacterium. RNAcentral's name for it is "bacterial SSU rRNA". It matches the Rfam family "Bacterial small subunit ribosomal RNA", at positions 30 to 524 of the family's 1533-position model. The record is from RNAcentral.